Molecule: long non-coding RNA, 406 nt
Organism: Xyrauchen texanus (razorback sucker)
Lineage: Eukaryota; Metazoa; Chordata; Actinopteri; Cypriniformes; Catostomidae
Exons: 3
Source: RefSeq, a predicted model, not a curated record
CUCCACCUCCUCCCGUGUCCUCCUUGUCCUCCUCCGCCCGGGACUCUUGAUGCUGGCGUCUUCUGUCCGGGCAGCUGAUGUUGAUACCGGUGAAUUAUUCAACGCAUUCACAGUCGAGACAGAAGAUGAGUCCUGAUCCAGUUUCACACGCGAGUAUGUGGCCCCCCAUUCCUCUGGUGGUGCCGCAGGUUGGGCUUGGCCACAUCAAUACAGAUGAUUGGCAUCGGCAUUUCCAACCUGGUGGUGGGCCAGCUACUGGGCACCAAGUCUAGGGGAGCACUCUCAAUAAGAUGACUAAGAGGUCAGCUGCAGACAGAGAACCGCUGAUGAACGACGAGAGAGAAGAGACAGAGGAGAUUAACGAGGUUCCUUCUAUCAACAGGACCUAAAGGAAUCACUCACACUC